UUUGGCACGCCUGAAAAACUAC
This 22-nucleotide microRNA is filed under the name Ascaris suum (pig roundworm). RNAcentral describes it as "asu-miR-5350a-3p". Lineage: Eukaryota; Metazoa; Nematoda; Chromadorea; Rhabditida; Ascarididae. The record is from miRBase by way of RNAcentral.